Molecule: ribosomal RNA, 419 nt
Filed under: bacterium
Lineage: Bacteria
Description: partial 16S ribosomal RNA
Rfam family: Bacterial small subunit ribosomal RNA
Source: RNAcentral
UGGGGGAUAUUGCACAAUGGGCGAAAGCCUGAUGCAGCGACGCCGCGUGGGGGAUGAAGGCCUUCGGGUUGUAAACUUCUUUUGCUCUGAACAAGGCGCACCAUGGGGUGUGUUGAGUGUAGGGGUUGAUUAGCGCCGGCUAACUACGUGCCAGCAGCCGCGGUAAUACGUAGGGCGCGAGCGUUGUCCGGAAUUAUUGAGCGUAAAGGGCUUGUAGGUGGCUGGUUGCGUCUGUCGUGAAAGCUCAUGGCUUAACUGUGGGUUUGCUGUGGGUACGUGCUGGCUGGAGUGCAGUAGGGGAGGCUGGAAGUCCUGGUGUAGCGGUGGAAUGCGCAGAUAUCAGGAGGAAUACCGGUGGCGAAGGCGGGUCUCUGGGCUGUUACUGACACUGAGGAGCGAACGCAUGGGGAGCGAACAGG